UUGAGCAGUGUUGAGGCAUCAGGGAAUUUGGGUAAGACAUUGUUGGAGAAAGCCCUAAUCGCUGUGAUCUUCCUUUUGUGUGAUCCAGAGGACCUUGACGCGAGACAAGUUUCUUAACGUCCGGAUUUGGACUGAUUGGAUCUUUCCUAU
Molecule: long non-coding RNA, 150 nt
Organism: Zingiber officinale
Lineage: Eukaryota; Viridiplantae; Streptophyta; Magnoliopsida; Zingiberales; Zingiberaceae
Exons: 3
Source: RefSeq, a predicted model, not a curated record